Long non-coding RNA from Microplitis demolitor, 294 nucleotides. RefSeq lists it as uncharacterized. The record is from RefSeq and is a predicted model, not a curated record. The transcript is spliced from 3 exons. NCBI's taxonomy places the organism in Eukaryota, Metazoa, Arthropoda, Insecta, Hymenoptera, Braconidae.
CCGAAGUAUCGAUAACGUCCGCAAAAGUAAAAAAAAAAAAAUCAAAAUGUCACGAAUUAUUUUAUUAUUAUCAAUAAUUUUAAUCAUCGGCUGCAUCAAUGCUGAGGAAUCAUGUCAAGGCCAGUGGUGUUCUUGGGGUUAUUCUUGUGGCUGCCCGGGUUUUCUAUGUACCGAAAUUGUAAACGGUUUUUGCACAAACAAAGGUAGUCCAUUUAAAAAUGGAGGUCCAUAAAAUAUAUUUUUCCAGAAAGGAGUAUUGGUUUUAUUAAAAGUUCGUCUUGGGAAAAUUGUAAU